This 77-nucleotide transfer RNA is filed under the name Actinomycetes bacterium. RNAcentral's name for it is "tRNA-Val". It matches the Rfam family "tRNA". Rfam says of the family: Transfer RNA (tRNA) molecules are approximately 80 nucleotides in length. The record is from RNAcentral. Lineage: Bacteria; Bacillati; Actinomycetota; Actinomycetes. RNAcentral also lists the same sequence under 2 other names.
GGGCGCAUAGCUCAGUUGGUUAGAGCACCUGCCUUACAAGCAGGGGGUCAGGGGUUCGAGUCCCUUUGCGCCCACCA